This is a non-coding RNA of Camellia sinensis, 3540 nucleotides long. The record is from RefSeq and is a predicted model, not a curated record. Lineage: Eukaryota; Viridiplantae; Streptophyta; Magnoliopsida; Ericales; Theaceae.
AUGUGCAUUUUUCUUUAUCAUUAUUCUUGUAAUAAUUAUAAAUAGAAGGGAGGUGUAGAUGCUAAAUAGGCGACGUUUAAAAUAAUCUAUAUUUUUUGUUUUCAAAAAAUAAAUUUAUAAUAUUAAAUUUAGUUUUUUGACAAUUUGCUCAUGAAGGAUGUUCAAAAAUGUAAUUGGCUCCCUAAAAGAUCAAUUUGAGCAAAUUGUCCUACAAAACAUGGUUAAAGUGUAAUUGGCCCCCUUACAAAACCUAUUGGAACAAAUUGCCCUUGGAUUUUAUUUAAUUGUAACAAUGCCCGUCGUAAACUAACUGUUAUUUACCGUUUAUGUUUUUAUUUUUCUGAAUUGUGCGAGGAAUUUCAGUUAAUCUUUUGCUUCUCCGUUUUUGAGUUGUACAAGUAUUGGUCUUUAUUUUUUGAAGACAAUGGGGGAGUCAUGUGAGAGAGAGAGUUUGGUGCCAAAAAAUAAGGUAUGGUAGUUUCAUUUUUACUAUCUUUUAGUUCAAAAAAAGAAGAUUUUCAUUUUUACUCUUCUCUGCCCAUUUAAAAUUGCAUGUGUAUGGUAUGUGUUGUGAAAAUAGAUGAAAAGAUGAACAGUAAUUAGUUCAUGGAGAUGUUAGAAUUGAAUUUAAUUUAAGGGCAAUUUGCUUCAUGAUCAUUUCGGGUCAAUUACAACAUUUUUUCAAGGAUAAUUUUGUUUUAAAAACAAACAAAUUAUCAAAACCCUGAAAAUUAUAUUUAAAAAUCAGCACUAUGUCCCAUUUCCUUCCUCUAUUCCUUGUCACACCAAACAUACUCUUCACAACCUCUCCGCGUGUAUUUUGCCUUUUCGUAAAAUAAACCAAACAUGGUGAAUGUUAACAUUUUUACUCUAUUUUUCACUACACCUCAAUCCAAAUACAGUUUUGGAGGCUAUGCGAUUGACUAAGAUAGAUUUUGGUAAAGUUUUACAGUUGUUUUUCUUGUAUUUUUUAUUGUUAUUGUUAUUAUUAUUAUUAUUGUUAAUCAGCGAAAGUCAUGAAACAUGUUUGUGCUUAUUUUUACUAACAUUAAAAAAAAAAAAAAAAGAAGGUAUUUUGUACACAAAUGUUUUCAAAAUAUACAAAUAAUAAAUUUUUUUUUUUUUAAAUAUGUGGUGAGUUGUUGGAGGGCUUGCAUGAUGAUUGUUGGAAGCUAGGGGUGCUCAGUGGAUAUGCCGAUCCGUUCAACCCACCUAGCCUAAAUGGAACUACCAUGUCUUGGGUGGAUGCGUGACAUUGAACGGGCGGAUACGGGCCCAAAAUUUCACAUUUCGUGGGUGUGGAUUAGGUUGCGGUUAAUCCGUCAAUGAGCUGCUUCUACCCGACCUGUCCCCCCCUCUCUCUGUCUCUCUCUUCCCUUGCUGUUGUGCCCCCCUUUCAGGCUGAAUUGACCAAAAUCAAACCCUAAAACCUAUUAUGCUUCAGCACACAAUGGAAGUGGUGGCCAAAGGGAGGGGGUGAGGAAGGAAUGCAAAUAAAAAAAUAAAAAAUAAAAAAAUCUAAAAUUGUGUAUUUUGAAAAUUAUCAAAUGUUUAUUUCUUGUAAAAACAAAAAUUAUGGAGGUUUUUGAAUCCUGAUGGGACUUUCGUCCUUAUGUCAAAAUGUGGACUAUCAGAUUGAAAAUGCCUUACUCUCAUUUGUCUCAUUUGGACAUUCUAAUGGUUCAGAUCAAUUUUAAAAUUUCAAUGGUUCAGGCUGCUCACACCUCAACUCUCUCACAUGAGUCACAUCUCACAUACAUCUUCCCUUGCCUUCUCUCUGAUUUUGAUUUCAAAAUUUAAAACUCAUUCUCUUUCACACCUCUUCCUCGUUCUCUUCCCACCACACAUCUUCUUUCCACCAAGCUUUCUCUCUCUAGAAGUUUAAGUAAGCUCCGGUGGUGAUUUCCGAAAUAUAGCUCCGAUGGAAUAUAGCCCUGCUAAGAGAGGGUGAUUUCUACCAUUUGGCUCAAUGUUUGCCUCCUCUCUCUCUCUACACAGCUCCAAGUUGCAGAGAAAGCGGGGAAAAGAAAAGAAAGUGAAGUGUUGAUGUUCUUAAUUGUUAUUUUCCUUAAUUGGCUUGGGUUAUUUGUUUCGAGCACCAUUAAUAUAUCUCUUUAUAUUUUUUUUUCUGCUCUAUCUUUAAGCACCAUUAUGUUUUCUACUUCAUAUGAUGCAGCAACUUCGAUGGCGGCAAUGGAGCAAAAUAAGGUUCUGGGUAUUCAUCUUAGUCUUGCUGGCUCUGUUUCGGUGUCUUGAUCUUGCUAGCUCUGUUCAAGGAUAUCCCAAACAGGCAUUUUAAUUAGUUAGUUAAUCAAAUGCAAUAAUAAUAAUAAUAAUUCAAAUCUAUUAAUAGGUAAAUGCAAGACGAAUAAAUAAGAUAUUAGAAAACAUCAAAUGCAAGACGAGAGUGUAAGUUUUUAGGGGGUAAUCAAAUGGCCUUCCAUGAAUUGAGUUUCUGGAUCAGAUAUAGUGGGUUUUGAAAUGGAUAGUAGGAGAAUUACCACCGGUCCUUGGCUGUGAUGGCCAAGAAAGGUUUGAUUGUGGGUUGGUUUUGUUUCUCAUGUAUAUUGUGUAUUUGAUUUGGUUUGUCAAAUAGUAUUUUGUAUUUGUGGAUUUUGUUCUUUGAUUUUGAUUCAUUGAAAUUUUGUUGCUAAAUUUGGCAGCUAAGUUUUUACUAUAAAGAAAUUUAUCGUGUGCUCCCUCCCUCUAAAACCUAUUAAUGCUUUUAUGGGUUUUUUUUAAAAAAUUUUUUUUAUAAAUUUUUUAAGAAAGAAGCUUUGUUGUGAACCUUUGAGAGCUAUAUUUGUUUUCUAUACCAUUGUUUUCUAAUUGGGAAAUAUAAUUGAUUUUACUUGAAAUAGUAAUUGGGUCUUUCAUGUUCAAAAAUUCACUUAAUAUGGAAGGUUAAAAGAGUGAAAUAAAAAAAAAAAAAAAAGUUUAAACUGGAAGUACUAUAACAAAUGAGUAUAUGGUUUCUUUUGUUUUUUCUGUUGUUAUUUUUCUCUUUUACACUGUAGUAGUGGGUUUGUAAAUGGAACUUAGUUAUCAAAGCCAAAACAUGCAUAUUAGCUAUUCAAAACUCGGAAACUACUCAUUUCAAUUUACAUGUCCGUAUAUUUAUGGGUCUAAUUUCUCUUUGGGGUUUAAUCACUGAGUUUAUUGUUUGAUUUGGAAUGGAGGGUGAAGGGAAAUUAAUCAAAAUUUUGAAUUUUAGAUUUAUUUCAAUCUAUAACAUUAGGAAACAAAAGUUGAUGCUUAUUAGUUGAUUGGAAUCACAGGUAGAGGGAAAGAUAUCUAUCUGAUUAGAUAAACGGGGAACACCGUGAAAAUUGAAAGUUACUAUGGGAUGUAAUAUUUAAGGGAUGCAAGAAAAUUGACAGCUUAUGAAUUUUGUUUCCUUCUUUUUAUUUUUAUUUAUUUAUUUUUUAAAUUGAUAACAACCUUUGAAUAAUAUUUUUAUGGGAACUGUAAAUGAUCAUCUUUAAACCAAUUGUUCUUUAUUGUUUUUUGUCUUGAUAUUUCAUAUAGAAUUUCAUUUGA